This 413-nucleotide non-coding RNA is filed under the name Lonsdalea quercina. Lineage: Bacteria; Pseudomonadati; Pseudomonadota; Gammaproteobacteria; Enterobacterales; Pectobacteriaceae. The record is from RNAcentral.
GGCGCAGCGUGACGCCUAGCGGUUUGAUGAACAGGCUAUUGUCAUUCAUCGUGACCUCGCCGCUCGCCCGUACCUGCUUACCGUUCAGCGGGAUAGACAAAUGCAGCGUGCUGGCCACGUUACCGCCGAUCUGCAAUUGUUGCAGCGUCGUUCCCAGCGUGGAUUUCAGCGGCGUCUGCAUGAAGUAAUCACUCACAUCUUUGCCACUGCCGUUCAGGUCGCCAUUUAUCAGCAGCAGCUCCUGCUGAAAGUUGGGGAUCGCGGCAUCGAUGUUCCGGCCUUUAACAUUGCCGAGCCGCGCCUGCGGCGCAUUCAUCCACAGCCCGUUAUUCAGGAAAUUGAGCGUGAUAUUUUCACUGUCCAAUGCGGGCCAGCCGGGCUGAAAGCCGAACUUGGCGUUUUUCAGCGGCACC